GUGCUCGCUUUGACAGCACGUAUACUAAAAUUAGAACGAUACAGAGAAGAUUAGCAUGGCCCCUGUAUAAGGAUGACCCACAAAUGCAUUGAAGCGUUCCAUUUUUUG
RNAcentral lists this small nuclear RNA (108 nucleotides) under Carlito syrichta (Philippine tarsier). The record is from RNAcentral. Lineage: Eukaryota; Metazoa; Chordata; Mammalia; Primates; Tarsiidae.